RNAcentral lists this ribosomal RNA (505 nucleotides) under Lodderomyces parapsilosis. Its description in RNAcentral is "eukaryotic LSU rRNA". The stretch from base 175 to 328 matches the Rfam family "5.8S ribosomal RNA". The record is from RNAcentral. Lineage: Eukaryota; Fungi; Ascomycota; Pichiomycetes; Serinales; Debaryomycetaceae.
AGGGGGCCUGCGGAAGGAUCAUUACAGAAUGAAAAGUGCUUAACUGCAUUUUUUCUUACACAUGUGUUUUUCUUUUUUUGAAAACUUUGCUUUGGUAGGCCUUCUAUAUGGGGCCUGCCAGAGAUUAAACUCAACCAAAUUUUAUUUAAUGUCAACCGAUUAUUUAAUAGUCAAAACUUUCAACAACGGAUCUCUUGGUUCUCGCAUCGAUGAAGAACGCAGCGAAAUGCGAUAAGUAAUAUGAAUUGCAGAUAUUCGUGAAUCAUCGAAUCUUUGAACGCACAUUGCGCCCUUUGGUAUUCCAAAGGGCAUGCCUGUUUGAGCGUCAUUUCUCCCUCAAACCCUCGGGUUUGGUGUUGAGCGAUACGCUGGGUUUGCUUGAAAGAAAGGCGGAGUAUAAACUAAUGGAUAGGUUUUUUCCACUCAUUGGUACAAACUCCAAAACUUCUUCCAAAUUCGACCUCAAAUCAGGUAGGACUACCCGCUGAACUUAAGCAUAUCAAAA